Rhineura floridana is the source of this 612-nucleotide long non-coding RNA. RefSeq lists it as uncharacterized. The record is from RefSeq and is a predicted model, not a curated record. Lineage: Eukaryota; Metazoa; Chordata; Lepidosauria; Squamata; Rhineuridae. The transcript has 3 exons.
UCCCUUUUGAAUAAAAAAGACUUUCCACGAUUUGAUGAUCAAAUACUCAGUUCAGUAACUAAAAGGUUGCUUGGAGCCUUUGAGCUGUGGGUAGCUCAUUGUUUUCUCAAGGAAUAACUACUUGCAGCUGGCAGCGAGGAUACCAAGUGUUGUGGCUUCAAGGUUCUUAAAGCUUUGGGUUAACCACAUAAUUUGUCUUCUAUGGACUAGGGAAGAGUAGUUCAUUUUUGCCAGCACUGGGAAGCUGCAGGAUGGUCGUUACACUUACUGAAGUAGAUACCAACAUAUGAACCUGAGAAAAAACUGCAAGAACACAACAAUCCAACGAAGGAAUACAUCAAUUUGAUGAUUUCAUACAGAUGUCUUCUCAAAAAUGAGUUGAGGAGAGGUCCUCUACAACGUCCUGGCCUUGCUCUUGAUAGAGGUGGAGCAGGGCAGCAGAAACCAGUCCCUGAACAACUCAGUCCAUCGUUUUUUAAAAGCAUGAACCUCACUUGGUUUCACUGCUCACCUUGGAAUUCACCUGGGCAUAGAAGUGAAUCUCGUUGUACAACUCCACGCCAUCAGCAUUCUUACAGCUGCAGAAAGACAAACAUAUUAUGGUGAGGCUCU